AACACACCUGUGACGAUGACGAAGGCAGAGCAAUUAACGACACCUGGCAGAAGGAGCCGGCCAAGGUGCCGGGCACAGAGGGGCAGGGCCGCACGACACCCAGAAACCCAACUGGCUGAUAUCACAUGCCCCGCCUUGGAGCAGACUGGGACUGGAGCCAAGGAAGAGGAAGCGAAGAGGAGGCAGCUGAGAGUUUCCUCUAGGACGACGGAAAAGGCGCAGGAAGGGCUGCCUUUAAAUCCCUGGGUGCCUCUGGACAGCCCUGCCAAGCAGCAGGGCAGCAAACCUGUGCCAGCCUGCAAUGUGAAGCCCUAAAGCUUUGGCAUCUCUGCUGGGCUCUGAGCCAGGUGCCUGGCAGGGCCCCAAGAACUACUUUCAGCAAAUCUUCAGGCAACGCCGAAGGUGGUGAGAAGCAGGAGGCAGAGCGAGAAGGCAGGAAUGGAGGGGCCCCCUAGAGGCACCAGCUUAAGAGGAAGGUUCACGAGCUCAGGAGGACUUGGGGGAGUGCUGCAAGAUGGUGCGAGAAAUGGAGAAGGAAGACAGAACGGGGAAGAAUGGCUCCUCCGUUGACGGAGAUGCGGAAUGGCUCCAGAGUCAGAGGGCUUCCUGAGUCUUCCGGAGUCUAACUGAAGAUCCGGUUGCAGCAGAAGCCCAUUUCUUUCAGCCUUGCCCACCAUGCCUGCCACCCGACCUCCACCUGUCCCCCGAGUGGGGGGCUCCCUGGCUCUAAGACAGCUCCCACCAGCCAUUUUCUUCUCCAGAGAAAGCAUUUUCAGUUCUUUCAA
Long non-coding RNA from Homo sapiens (human), 785 nucleotides. RefSeq lists it as uncharacterized. The record is from RefSeq and is a predicted model, not a curated record. NCBI's taxonomy places the organism in Eukaryota, Metazoa, Chordata, Mammalia, Primates, Hominidae. The transcript is spliced from 2 exons.